AUACGGAGGGUGCAAGCGUUAUCCGGAAUCAUUGGGUUUAAAGGGUCCGUAGGCGGACUAUUAAGUCAGAGGUGAAAUCCCACAGCUCAACUGUGGAACUGCCUUUGAUACUGGUAGUCUUGAGUUAUAUGGAAGUAGAUAGAAUGUGUAGUGUAGCGGUGAAAUGCAUAGAUAUUACACAGAAUACCGAUUGCGUAGGCAGUCUACUACGUAUAUACUGACGCUAAGGGACGAAAGCGUGGGGAGCGAACAGGAUUAGAAACCCCAGUAGUCC
This 274-nucleotide ribosomal RNA is filed under the name uncultured bacterium. RNAcentral's name for it is "partial 16S ribosomal RNA". It matches the Rfam family "Bacterial small subunit ribosomal RNA", at positions 523 to 796 of the family's 1533-position model. The record is from RNAcentral.